RNAcentral lists this ribosomal RNA (164 nucleotides) under Trachycarpus fortunei (windmill palm). RNAcentral's name for it is "5.8S ribosomal RNA". It matches the Rfam family "5.8S ribosomal RNA". From Rfam's summary of the family: 5.8S ribosomal RNA (5.8S rRNA) is a component of the large subunit of the eukaryotic ribosome. RNAcentral also lists the same sequence under 4 other names. Lineage: Eukaryota; Viridiplantae; Streptophyta; Magnoliopsida; Arecales; Arecaceae. The record is from RNAcentral.
GGUACGACUCUCGGCAACGGAUAUCUCGGCUCUCGCAUCGAUGAAGAACGUAGCGAAAUGCGAUACCUGGUGUGAAUUGCAGAAUCCCGCGAACCAUCGAGUCUUUGAACGCAAGUUGCGCCCGAGGCCACCCGGCCGAGGGCACGCCUGCCUGGGCGUCACGC